Molecule: long non-coding RNA, 2358 nt
Organism: Dreissena polymorpha
Lineage: Eukaryota; Metazoa; Mollusca; Bivalvia; Myida; Dreissenidae
Exons: 2
Source: RefSeq, a predicted model, not a curated record
UUGAUUAAUUUUAAUUUGAAGAGUUAAUUUUAAUUACUAUGUUUUUUCAUGCUAGUAAGGCUAUUUUGAGGGUUAAAAGCAUUAUAGUGAACUAACUCACACGAUCGUCAUUUUUAGAAAAAUGGAAUCGAAGUGUUUAAGUGUGCCUUCAACUUAUUAAACAUUGGUGUCAUAUAUCGUAAUUUUGUUAAUAGUCAAUUGUAGGCUUUCAUAGACGAAUGUUUAUUAGUUUAAUUUCUUUAUGUCCCCGGAUCGAUAGAUCGGGGGUAUAUUGUUUUUGGCCUGUCUGUCUGUCAUUCUGUCCCAAAACUAACCUUACAGUAAAGUUUUGCAAUAACUUUUGAAAUAUUGAACAUAGCAACUUGAUAUUUGGCAUGCAUGUGUAUCUCAUGUAGCUGCACAUUUUGAGUGGUGAAAGGGCAAGGUCAUCCUUCAAGGUCAAAGGUCAAAAACAAAAGCGGUGCAUUAGGGGGCAUUGUGUUUCUGACAAACACAUCUCUUGUUUUUUUAAUAAAAACAUAAAUUCCUGGGAUAGUUCUUUAUGACAUUCUUUUAUUUCUAAUUCGUAGAUAAAUAUGUCAUAGUCAACCAACCCACAUUGCAAAUGUUUCUCAAUACAAAGGGUUAUUAGCGUAGUCGUCGUGCAAAAACUUUGAUGUGAGUCAUUACUUCUUUGUUAUUUGCAUAUGUUCAACAAAUUCACAAAUAUUUUUCUUCUUGCAACAAUGCCUAUCCAGAGCUGAAUUUUUUACCUUGACCUCUGAUUUCAACCUUGACUCCUUUGACUCUGAUUAACAGACAAGCAUUGGUUCCCGCGGGAGCUGUUGUAUAUAAACUAUAAUUCUAUGCUGUAUAAAUUUAUUUCCAAACUUAUCACAAUUUUAACAAGAAAGCAUUACAUGCAUAAUAUUUGACAUAGUGAUAUAUUGUCAUAAUGCCCUCACAGUAUGAUUACGUGUAAAAUUAUGACUAAGGGUAUUAAAUGAUGGAACAUUGAUUGAGGCUAAUUAAUUAAAAAUUACUUUCAUGUAGAAUUGCACAAUCUAGUAGUGUACUAAAACAGAUUGCAUAAAUAUAAUUUCCCUAAAUAUUUUACAGAAAAGUAUACUCAAAAUUAUUGAAUUUUUGGGUGCCUUUGACAUACAAUGAAACUAAAGGAAUUUUCCUACCUUCAUUUUGGGGCUGAAAUAUGGCUCAAAUGCAGUAUACCUAUUUUUCUAUAUCUAUUCAAUGAAAUCCUAAUUUACAAUUUCAAAAUUUUAACACCUAGAUUCUUAAAAAUUAAUCAUAAUUUUCCAAUUUUGAAUUCUGUAAGAAAUCAAUAACUCAUUUUUGUGAAAAUGUGGUUUACUUCACUAUUGCUUUUCACCAGCCAUUUGUUUGACAAUUUUUGUAUUUUAUUUCAUUUUUAUGCUCCCCCCAAAUUUUUUUGGGGGGAUCAUAUAGUCGCCGCUUCGUCUGUCCGUGCGUCCGUGCACAAUUUUUGUCCGGGCUAUUUCUCAGCAACUAAUAACGGAUUUCAAUAAAACUUUAUGGGAAGCUUCACUACCAAGAGGAGAUGUGCACAUUAUCAGUGGGUUCUGGUCGGAUGAUUUUUCACAGAGUUAUGGCCCUUUGAAAUUUUCCAUUAACUGUACAUAUAGUGCAAUUCUUGUCCGGGCUAUUUCUCAGCAACUGAUGACCGGAAUUCAAUGAAACUUUAUGGGAAGCUUCACUACCAAGAGGAGAUGUGCAUAUUUUCAGCGGGUUCUGGUCGGAUGAUUUUUCACAGAGUUAUGGCCCUUUGAAAUUUUCUAUAAACUGUACAUAUAGUGCAAUUCUUGUCCUGGCUAUUUCUCCCCAACUACUGACUGGAAUACAAUGAAGCUUUAUGGGAAGCUUAACUACCUUGAGGAGAUGCGCAUGUUAUUUGUGGGUUCUGGUUAGAUGAUUUGUUUAGAGAGUUAUGGCCCUUUGAAAUUUUUAAGUUGCUAAACCAUCCAUCGUAUUAUUUUGUCUAAAGUUAUGCCCCUCAAGAUGUUUCCUUUUAUCUGAAUAUAUAGUGCAAUAUUGUGACAAAAAAAAACUUUGGGGAGCAUCACCAGUCCCCGAAGGUUUCUUGUUAAAUGUGUUUGUCAAAAUUGUUCAUUCCCGUAGGUUUAAACUUCAACCUUAUGUGUUUUUAUAACAGAAAUGGGGAAAAAGACAAGCAGGUGAAAGAUGGGGGGGGGGGGGGGUGGCAUUAAUUUAAUGUCCUGUGGACUUAUUCCUAGUUUUGUUUAAUCUAGUCAAUUCCCUAAGAGUACAAGGAGUACAUUGUUACUAUGAUAAUUUAUUUUAAAUUUCUAUAAUUUGUUAAUAAAUUAUGUUUCAACUCAA